UGGAAGUUAUUCUGGAAAACGGGGAAGUCGGAAUCCUUAGAGGAGCUGCCAACGUGCAUUUGCCUGAGUUCCUUCAGCAGUGGGGAAGAGAGGGAGAAUUCCAGACACGUCAUCCUGAUUUCACAGGCCUGCAGAGAUCCCCAGAGUGGACUGAUCCAUCUGGGGGAGGAACAAAGUCAUGGGAUCAGAGAAGAUCUGGGAGCUCAGUGCAGAGAGCAAGUAGGAUGGUGGGAAUUAUUAGAGGAGAAAUGGAGUAAAACCACAAAAGACUUCUUGAUACCCCUCUAAACCCCUCCCAUAUCUGUGAGGUUGCUCACAGAGCAAAACCUCCCUGCAGGAUCUGUUUUGUAAAUCUGCCAAAAGGUGAAGACAACCACUUUAUCUGCGAGGGAAUAUUCAUUUAUGGGGCUUCAGUGGUGACACAGAUUUGAAAAAAGGAAAAUAGUCUUAAACCCUUCCUCAGGAGAGAGAUUUACUUCCAGUUUGAUUCAGUGGGAUUGCUUUGAGUCUGUGAGUUCUCAGCUCAUGAAGAGCUUCCUGGCUGAGGGGAUGAAGACAUUAAAGCCUUUGCCCACUCAGGGCAAUUGCUCUGGAGACAAACACAGCUCAGAAAACAAAUGUUCUGAGCUACCUGGAAGUUCUGGUUCACUAAACACAUGAAGAGCCAGAGAUCCUUCUGAACCUGCAAGUGAAAUUUAUUCUCAAGGUGAUGCUUGAGCUCAUUAUCUGCUCCUCUUUCUAAAUGUAAAGUAAGGAGUGAAAGGCCCAAAUAUUCCAUAUAUAACAGCUGACAUGUUUCCUGCAUUCCUGUGUUUGCCUAAGAAGUCAUGGAUAAUCAAUUUGAUGUGCAAAAUACACUGCAGGGAUGAAUUCUGAGCCACAGCCCUUGCCAUGCCUGUGCUGUUCUGAGAGACAGAAACUUCCAGGAAAGGAACAGCAGUGAAAAUCUUCCUGAUCAUUCUCUCAUCAGGUUUUUUUUCCAAGAACGUGUCUGGAGGUGGAUUCUCUAGACAGUGUUUGGGUUUUUCUUACCCCUUGAGUGGCUGGUUCUCUGUGUGUCAGUUAUUUUCUCACUGUUUUUCUUCCUGUAUUAGAAAUCAAAGUUACUUCAUCAGGAUAUGUAUUUUUUAUAUAUAUAUAUAAUCACUAUAAUCUCAACUAACCUGAAACAUUUACUUUUCAGAUUUAUUAUUUAAAUAUAUGUUUAAAAUGAUUAAAACAAUUCCCUACAUGUAUUACAAAUAACUUCCCAUCUUAUUACUGUUGGGAAGCAGAACAGGCAGGAACCAGCAGCAGACAGAUAUAAUUGUAACAGAGGUUCUCUUUUAAUAAAUAAUAGAUUGGUUGUAAUGAGACUUAUGGUCUUCAUAAACUCCUAGAAUGUUUUUAACACAACCAAAGUAAGUAAGUUUAAAGUCUGAUUUAUCAGCCUUAACCCUUUCAGAUAAUUUUUUGCCUUGUUUAUCUUCGAGGACAAACCCCAACAUUUAUCUCAUCUUGAGAGAUUUUCCCACCAAACAGAAUAUCUAUGGUUCUGGCAAGAAAAAAAAGGGAAAUUUGUGUGGAUAAAAAAAGAUGAGUGCCAAUCCUGAUGGUGUGGAAAAACUGAGACUGGACAACCUCAAAAAAGCUCCCUUUACCCUGCCCUGAAGAACUGCAGCCACAGUGUUUCAUGUGGAGGAAAAGUCUCCAGAAGCCACCACUUCCCCAAAGGAAGGAGGUGGCAAAAUAUCCGGAGCCUCAUCUUGAAGAGCUUUGGAAUGGCCAAAAGGUUCUUCCUUUUCCAGGUCACUGCCAGGUUUUAGAAGAUACAAUUUUCCAGCAUCUAAAGCAGGAAAUCCCAGCUAUUUUCCAUGAGAAGAAGCAGAGGGAUGACAGGGCUUCCCCCCAGAACACUCCCUGGGUAAUUGCUGAAGACAUUCCAAGCCACUCUAACGAAGUGAACUGUCUGCCAGUCAUUCUGUUCUCCUUGGAAGACCAUCUGUUGCACUUCAAAUAUGUAAAGGUCUGCUAUCAUUUAUUGCUCCAAACAAAUCCACUCCUUUGUCUCAUGGGCUGGAGCUCCUGAAUGGGGACUGAAGGUGGUUUCAGUCACGGAGGGCAGGAUGUUCAGGAUAUUCAGGAUAUUUUGUUGCUCUCUAAGUGAAAGGUGCUCACUCAGCUCAAAUUUCAGAGCACAAACAGUGAUUAAACUGAUUUCGGUGCUUUUGAAUAAUUUCAAUUUAUUUGGCAACAAAUUGUGAACAACAACAACAACAAUCUGAGAUGUAGUUUCUGUUAACUCAGCCAGAAGCACAUUGUAAGAUUUUUGCUUCUGGUGAACAAACCUUUCCAUUGUAGUGGUAUCCAGACUUGAUACACAUUGACAUUUGAAUUAACAUUAUGUUAUUUUAACUAAAUUGUUUAAUUAGCUUAUUUGUGGCUGAAACUAGUGAUUCAAAGCAACUUUCAGUAGUGAAAUAUAAGGUCAGCAGCUCAAAAUGCAAGAAGCUUUCUUCUGGUGGAUAAACACGUGUCCUUUACAGGGAUGUAACACUUGCCUGUACAGUCUUUAUUUAUGAGUUAACUGGGAUCCUUUCCAUGAAUUAAAUGAGCAAGAUCAGGCAUUAAAUGAUGAUUUCUCUUUGUUUCUCCUGCUGCAGAUUUUAAAGAGGCUGUACAACCCCUCCUCUCAGAUUGGAGAACAUAAGCAUUGUAUUUUCACAGCAGAGAAGUUCUGUUCAGAGAUUUCCAGCCAGGGAAACACAUAACAAUUUCUGUGUGAUUAGGGAGUGGUCCUAUCUUUUUAUCCUUUUUUUUUCCUCUGUCCCUUCUCCUCCCUGCAUAGCAGUUACUGUUCUGGUCAGAAGGAAUAAUAUGUUAGAUCUUGAAUGUCAGUAGCCCCAGAGAUUCUGACAAGACUAUUCAUGUGCAUUCAUACGUCUUAACCAAAGCUGACACUAAAGAGAGCAAGAAUCCUCAUAUUCCUCUUUUUAUUGCUGUGCAUUAAACUCAAAUCUUCUCUUGGAGACCUCUGCUGAAAAAUGACAUAUUCCCCAUUUGAAAAAGGCUUUCUGGCAGGGUCUAAACAAAGCAGCUGGACAUCAACGUGGCCCAGGGCAGAAAGCUCCCACAGUUUGGUUUACACCCCAGUUAUGGACACCUACCAAAUGCUGGGAGAGAAAUCCUAAUGGGAAACAAACAGUAAUGUUUCUGUUGUAAUUUUUUAAUUUAAAAAUUAAGUGGUCUUCUAAUUUCUUGAAACCUUAUAGGAAUACUUGGAUUCUGGUAACUUGAGGUGGAUGUUUUCUGAGAAACACACCCUGUGUGAAUGCUCUGCUCUCCCAUUUACCCCAGACAUAUUUUACACAUACUUUUAGUACAGUUUUUUGGGUAAUUUUGCAGUGAUCUGAUCGUGUUGUUAAAGCCAGGUAGGCAAUUUUUACAGCAAUGAUAUUUUUAAUCUUCUUUUUUAUAAUUGUUGGAUAGCAGUGACUAACACAGCCUCGGUGGCUCUGGGCACCUCGCCAUUCUUAGGUAGUUUAAUUUGUUAAAAAUUAUCUUCCCUCCCACCCAAAUCCCCUUGAAACCACUUGGAGAGGAGAAGUGUUGAACAGUUGCCAAUAAUAAGUCCUGCUGAGACCUCUGUAUCCUCCUGAUAGAACUGUUGGUGCCAACCAGGGACUGACUGGCACGAGUUUGAACUCUCCACUGCUUGAUGGAUCUGCUUCACAUGGACCAAUUACAACAAUUCCCACCUCUGAAGUCGAAGCACUUGGUCUUCCCUUCAUACCUCAGGUUCUUGGCAAUGUGUUCAGUCCUACAACCUCAAUUUUCUCUGAAUAAUUAAGUAGAACGUAAAUACUUUGAAAAAGUAGGAGAGAGUCUGAAUGGAAAUCAAAGGCUGAAUAAUGUUGUUGUUUUUCAUGUUGCUAUUGUUAAGCUGCAUUUCUUUCCAUUUAUUCUUUAUUUCUAAAAGGCAGCAUCUUCUUUUAAGUUUUUUACAGAGAUUCACCAGAAGAUGCUGUAGUCCAUUGACUGUUAUAUUCAACAGUAUCUUUUGAUGUGAAUGAAAGAGCAAUAGGAAUUCCUACUUUUUUUUUUUUAAAUGGGUGUAAAAAUAUAAAUAUUCCUUUCAAAAUAAAUACUUUUGACCGAAGUGGAAAAUCAUCCAUCCUUUACUCCUUUUGGCUGGAUGUUUCCAUGAGAAAUAGGGAUAUAACACCAGGAUGAGAGACUGGCAUUAACUGCUGAGCUCCUGACAAUUCCAUUGGUUUCAAUCUGAUGCAACAGGGACCAUCUUGCCCUUGCCCCUGUUGUCUUUCCAGGAGAGUAGUUAAUUUUUAAAUUGGAGCAGCUGCAGAUUUUUUUUAACCAGUGAAGUUUCUAUUACACAAAGAUAAACCUAAGAUUGAGCACAAACUGACUUGCCUGUAGCUUUCCUAAUAUGAUUGCACUGCACAGCGUAGAUACUAAAAUUUAUAUUAAAAAUUCUCCAUGCAGUUUCCCUCUAGGGAGAGGAAGAGGGAAGGGAAAGGCUACAUGUGACAGAUGCUAAUUAUGCAGCUUAAUGCACUUCUGGAAGUUGCAGAGAUGAGAACUCUGUAAAAACCCAUCCACAAAACAAAGCCUAUUUUCAACAGCGUUUUUUCCACAGUGCUUUGUUUUCAUCUGCCUCCUCCCCGUUUUCCAGGAGGUUUUAUUUCCCCAAAAACACGUACAGUAUUCAAAGGGCAAGUGAUGUCCAAGGUCCAAAAUUUGCCAAGCAUGGAUAUGACUGUUCUCCAUCGGGUCUUCCUGCUUUGUAGGGCUGUAGGUAGAAUUGGGAAAGCUGGUGGCUCCCAGUCAGGACAGCCUGGGAUUGCUCCUUUAGGACUGGUGACUUCCCAACCUCUCUCCACGUGGGACGAUAAUCGCGCUAACGACGGCAGCGGCGCCAGAACUUCUGAGGUCUUGGUGUGGCCCUGGGCAGCCUUGGAGGAGCAUGUUUGGAGUGAAUCCUCCUCUUGCCAUGGUCCUCAUGUGCAGCCACCACGGAGAAAACCAUCUGUUCCCCUUGGAAGGGGGUUUGGUUCCCCGUGCCCUCCCCCGAUCCCGCUCCGGCCCCAGCUGCCGUGUUUCGAUGAGCGGCGAGGGAACGAAUCCCCUGCGUUAAAAAUACCCUGGGUCUAUUUAGAUGAAAAGAAGAAUCUUGCUUGCCUACACUGACAUGCAAAAAUAGGCUCAGUGUGAGUAAAUCUUCAAAGUUUCUUUUGGUGAAAAUACCCAGCCUGGCUUUUUUUUUUUUUUUUUUAAACUUAUAAGUUUAUUUAUAGAGUGUCCUUCUUUCCUCCUACUCCAUCAAGACAUUUGCAGGAGAUUGUCGCUCGUCUUGUUCAGGAGUCCUGAAAUAAUUUGCCAGGGCCUUUGAAACAUCAUCAUGUUGCACAGUUGUGAUGCAUCGUGCUGCUGUUGCACCAACGGAUCAUAUUUUAGUGUGAGUGUCACGUUAACUGAGACAUUCAGGCCUUCCUUUUCCUCCAGGUGCCUUGCACUGGUUUGUAUUUUCAUUUUAACUCCUCAGUCAGAAAAUUCUGCGUAUAUAUAGUAACUUAAAAUUUUCCAUUCUACAUGCAAGGCAUUGCAUAGAAAAUUAAUGUGUAAUAUGAGAAGAUUAACAGGAUGCAUAUACUUUCCAAAUAUCUCUUAAAAAUAGCUUUCACUGUCACUGUAGCAUCUUAAUUCUGAAUAAUCUCACAGUCCUUCUGCAAAUCUGUGCAUAUAGUAACAGAGUAACCACCUACUUCAUCCUUUCGAACUGCACAAUAUGUAUCUGGGCAUGAAAAAAACUGCAUUUUGGAGUAUGUUCUGCUUUGGCAGGGAGGAUGGCUGUGGGACUAGUGAGAGCAUUAAUGCCUGCGUUAAAUAUUAAUGCCAGCAUUC
Long non-coding RNA from Neopelma chrysocephalum (saffron-crested tyrant-manakin), 5901 nucleotides. RefSeq lists it as uncharacterized. The transcript has 7 exons. The record is from RefSeq and is a predicted model, not a curated record. NCBI's taxonomy places the organism in Eukaryota, Metazoa, Chordata, Aves, Passeriformes, Pipridae.